GUAAAUCCAUCUUGAGCUAUUUUCCUUGAAUGGUAUAAUACAACAAUGUUUGAUUCUGAUCUCAGCAUUACUUUUCAGUUGCCUACAAUAUUGUUGGAUUCCUUUCUCACAUCAAAAUAUAGGUAAACUACUGGUCUUCAUAAUCGACUGCAAGAGAAGAAAAGCUUAAUUACCUGAAAAAUAUAUCAGAGUGAAGGCACUUAUUCCAGGUUUCGCAUAUUCUAUCAUUGCAGCCUUAGUUCCAUGGUUCCACCCAA
Lolium rigidum is the source of this 257-nucleotide long non-coding RNA. RefSeq lists it as uncharacterized. NCBI's taxonomy places the organism in Eukaryota, Viridiplantae, Streptophyta, Magnoliopsida, Poales, Poaceae. The record is from RefSeq and is a predicted model, not a curated record. The transcript is spliced from 3 exons.